GACGAACGCUGGCGGCGUGCUUAACACAUGCAAGUCGAACGAUGAAGCCGGAGCUUGCUCCGGCGGAUUAGUGGCGAACGGGUGAGUAACACGUGAGCAAUCUGCCCUUGACUCUGGGAUAACUGCGGGAAACUGUAGCUAAUACCGGAUACGACACCUUGGGGCAUCCCAGGGUGUGGAAAGAAUUUCGGUCAAGGAUGAGCUCGCGGCCUAUCAGCUAGUUGGUGAGGUAAUGGCUCACCAAGGCGACGACGGGUAGCCGGCCUGAGAGGGUGACCAGCCACACUGGAACUGAGACACGGUCCAGACUCCUACGGGAGGCAGCAGUGGGGAAUAUUGCACAAUGGGCGAAAGCCUGAUGCAGCAACGCCGGGUGGGGGAUGAAGGCCUUCGGGUGUAAACCUCUUUUAGCAGGGAAGAAGCGAAAGUGACGGUACCUGCAGAAAAAGCACCGGCUAACUACGUGCCAGCAGCAGCCGCAG
Molecule: ribosomal RNA, 482 nt
Filed under: uncultured bacterium
Lineage: Bacteria
Description: partial 16S ribosomal RNA
Rfam family: Bacterial small subunit ribosomal RNA
Source: RNAcentral